Molecule: non-coding RNA, 73 nt
Organism: Araneus ventricosus
Lineage: Eukaryota; Metazoa; Arthropoda; Arachnida; Araneae; Araneidae
Source: the annotation of a GenBank genome assembly
UUCGACAUGGUCUAGUGGUUAGGAUACCUCGCUUUCACCCAGGAGGACCGGCUUCGAAUUCCCGAUGUCGGAA